This 254-nucleotide ribosomal RNA is filed under the name uncultured bacterium. RNAcentral's name for it is "partial 16S ribosomal RNA". It matches the Rfam family "Bacterial small subunit ribosomal RNA", at positions 524 to 776 of the family's 1533-position model. The record is from RNAcentral.
UACGUAGGGUCCGAGCGUUGUCCGGAAUUAUUGGGCGUAAAGGGCUCGUAGGCGGUUCGUCACGUCGGGAGUGAAAACUCGGAGCUUAACUCCGAGCCUGCUUCCGAUACGGGCAUCACUGGAGUUCGGCAGGGGAGACUGGAAUUCCUGGUGUAGCGGUGAAAUGCGCAGAUAUCAGGAGGAACACCGGUGGCGAAGGCGGUUCUCUGGGCAUUACCUGACGCUGAGGAGCGAAAGCUAGGGGAGCAAACGGG